Molecule: ribosomal RNA, 671 nt
Filed under: uncultured Vagococcus sp.
Lineage: Bacteria; Bacillati; Bacillota; Bacilli; Lactobacillales; Enterococcaceae
Description: bacterial SSU rRNA
Rfam family: Bacterial small subunit ribosomal RNA
Source: RNAcentral
CGCCCUUAGAGUUUGAUCAUGGCUCAGGACGAACGCUGGCGGCGUGCCUAAUACAUGCAAGUCGAACGCAGCUUGCUUUGGUAAGAUGAGUGGCGAACGGGUGAGUAACACGUGGGUAACCUGCCUAUCAGAGGGGGAUAACACUUGGAAACAGGUGCUAAUACCGCAUAGAUUUCUUUCGCAUGAAAAGAGAGGAAAGACGUACGUGUCACUGAUAGAUGGACCCGCGGUGCAUUAGCUAGUUGGUGAGGUAACGGCUCACCAAGGCCAUGAUGCAUAGCCGACCUGAGAGGGUGAUCGGCCACACUGGGACUGAGACACGGCCCAGACUCCUACGGGAGGCAGCAGUAGGGAAUCUUCGGCAAUGGACGAAAGUCUGACCGAGCAACGCCGCGUGAGUGAAGAAGGUUUUCGGAUCGUAAAACUCUGUUGUUAGAGAAGAACAGGUAGGAGUGACUUCCUGCCAUGACGGUAUCUAACCAGAAAGCCACGGCUAACUACGUGCCAGCAGCCGCGGUAAUACGUAGGUGGCAAGCGUUGUCCGGAUUUAUGGGCGUAAAGCGAGCGCAGGCGGUUUCUUAAGUCUGAUGUGAAAGCCCCCGGCUUAACCGGGAGGGUCAUUGGAAACUGGGAGACUUGAGUGCAGAGGAGGAGAGUGGAAUUCCAUGUGU